AAAGCAGAUCUAUCUUAUCGCUUUUUUAUAGAACUAGUAUUAAUAUUUUUAUUUCGUUAUAAGAACUUUAAUCAAGUUUUAAAGAAAGAGGAAAGUCCGGACACCAAAGAGUAGCAUAGCGGAUAACAUCCGUCCGAUGUAAAUCGAGGACAAGUGCAACAGAAAGCAAGUACAGUUCGGCUGUAGUGAAACCAGGUAAACUCUAUGCGGUGCAAUGUCAUGUACAUUAGAGUUUGAGGGUAACUCGCCCCGAUUCUAAGGGGUAGGCAGAUGGAUUCUAAGAGUAAUUUUAGAACUAGAUAAAUGAUAAGACCCUUUUUAAGGGAACAGAAUCCGGCUUAUUGGUCUGCUUUUUUA
RNAcentral lists this RNase P RNA (357 nucleotides) under Flavobacteriaceae bacterium. RNAcentral's name for it is "RNase P RNA component class A". It matches the Rfam family "Bacterial RNase P class A". From Rfam's summary of the family: Ribonuclease P (RNase P) is a ubiquitous endoribonuclease, found in archaea, bacteria and eukarya as well as chloroplasts and mitochondria. Its best characterised activity is the generation of mature 5'-ends of tRNAs by cleaving the 5'-leader elements of precursor-tRNAs. Cellular RNase Ps are ribonucleoproteins. The record is from RNAcentral. Lineage: Bacteria; Pseudomonadati; Bacteroidota; Flavobacteriia; Flavobacteriales; Flavobacteriaceae.